GACGAACGCUGGCGGCGUGCUUAACACAUGCAAGUCGAGCGGUAAGGCCCUUUCGGGGUACGACGAGCGGCGAACGGGUGAGUAACACGUGGGUGGACCUGCCCUCCAGCUCUGGGAGUAAGCCUCGGGAAACCGGGUACGUAAUACCGGAUAUGACUCCAUGACGCAUGUUGUGGGGUGGAAAGCCUUGUGCGGCUGAGGAUGGGCCC
Molecule: ribosomal RNA, 209 nt
Filed under: uncultured bacterium
Lineage: Bacteria
Description: partial 16S ribosomal RNA
Rfam family: Bacterial small subunit ribosomal RNA
Source: RNAcentral